AAGGAUCGGCCUGCGUCUGAUUAGCUAGUUGGUGGGGUAAAGGCCUACCAAGGCAAUGAUCAGUAGUUGGUCUGAGAGGAUGACCAGCCAGAGUGGGACUGAGAUACGGCCCACACUUCUACGGAAGGCAGCAGUAGGGAAUUUUGCGCAAUGGGCGAAAGCCUGACGCAGCAACACCGCGUGUAGGAUGAAGGUUUUAGGAUCGUAAACUACUGUCAGCAGGGAAUAAAUUGACUGUACCUGCAGAGGAAGCAUCGGCUAACUACGUGCCAGCAGCCGCGGUAAGACGUAGGAUGCAAGCGUUGUCCGGAAUUAUUGGGCGUAAAGAGUUCGUAGGCGGUUAUCUAAGUCUGGUGUUAAAGCCCGAAGCUCAACUUCGGCAUGGCAUCGGAAACUGGGUAGCUAGAGUGUGGUAGAGGUAUCGGGAAUUCCUGUGUAGCGGUGAAAUGCGUAGAUAUCAGGAGGAACACCGGUGGCGAAAGCGCGAUACUGGGCCAUAACUGACGCUGAGGAACGAAAGCCAGGGGAGCGAAAGGGAUUAGAUACCCUUGUAGUCCUGGCCGUAAACGAUGGAUACUAGGUGUUGGAGGAUUCGACCCCUUCAGUGCCGUAGCUAACGCGAUAAGUAUCCCGCCUGGGGAGUACGACCGCAAGGUUGAAACUCAAAGGAAUUGACGGGGGCCCGCACAAGCGGUGGAACAUGUGGUUUAAUUCGAUGCAACGCGAAGAACCUUACCUGGGCUUGACAUCUUUGGAACCUUGCGGAAACGUGAGGGUGCCUUCGGGAGCCAAAAGACAGGUGGUGCACGGUUGUCGUCAGCUCGUGUCGUGAGAUGUUGGGUUAAGUCCCGCAACGAGCGCAACCCUCGUGGUCUGUUGUUACAGGUCGUAAGAUGCUGAACCCUCAGGCCAGACUGCC
This 919-nucleotide ribosomal RNA is filed under the name uncultured delta proteobacterium. RNAcentral describes it as "bacterial SSU rRNA". It matches the Rfam family "Bacterial small subunit ribosomal RNA", at positions 221 to 1153 of the family's 1533-position model. The record is from RNAcentral. Lineage: Bacteria; Deltaproteobacteria.